UUCCCUCCUACAAAACCAAACAUUUUCAGAUGUUGUUUUUUCAUUUCCUUCCGACGCUAUUAAAUCUCAGUCUUACCUAUGUUGAAAUGGUUCCAGUGUGUGUGUGAUGCAUUGCUUCCCUUAGUUUUCGGAGGAACAUGGUGCUAUUCCUGGUGAUUUUGGUUAUGGAAAAGCUGACAUUAGUCAGGAACUUUCUAAGGUGAUCACUUUAUUGCUCCGUUCUCAUCAUACCGUCUCUACACUGUCUACUGAGUUCAAAAAUCCAUGCUGUACUCUAAUUCUGAAGCUUUGGUUUAUGUGGGAUGUGGCUGAAAGAGGAAAUGAGAUAGCCGAUGUUUAAUGGGUUUCCCCCAAUCGACAAUGACAUUUCCUCACAUGAUGUGAAGAGUGGAGCCGCUUAAAGUAAAUGGCGAGCUCACCAUGGUCGCCUUUCUUACUACAGAUUGGGAGCCGCCGACUACGACCCUAUGACCCAUGGUGUGUAGAUGAUACACUGGUGAGGCAUUCAAGGGACAAACAGGAGCUCACGAUUUUCAGGGAUGAGGAGGAGCUUGCAAUUUCCAGGCUUGGCCUGCCCGACCUGCCGACGCAUGUGGAAGACUAGGAGUCUGGUGUUUUCUCUGCAGCGAAGCACAAAUGUCCCCGGGUGCAACUCACGGGCUCUUUUGCUUUUACACACUUCAUUUUGUAAUUUUAGUGUUCGACUAAUAGUACAUCUGUUGGAACAAGUGCAAAGGCAACAUCAUCUUCCAGCAAAAAAUUUCCCCUGCGUUGAGCGCUUCAGAGAUGCACUAGGUGGGUAAAACAUCGACAGUUUUGAGAACGUCAAGCAAUAUUUACUACUAUUAUGUUGUAUUAACAAAUUUAGUAUCAAGUUGAAUGAUAUAAGGAAAGUAAACAGAGAUGCUGAUGAGCUUAAUUAAUUCAAAAAAUUGUUCUUGAUUUUUAUUUCUAGAAGAAAUAUUUGAUUCAUUGUUGUGAAUUUUCCAGGAGAGAGCAGGUUCUGGUGGACAAAGAGGUGAUAAGCGAUGAACUCUUCCAGUAUAAAUGUUGAUGGUCCUAAUUCCUUUAUAAUUUAUUUCUUGAUCACUUUAAGUUACAAAACAUCUCUGUGACUUUUCGUGUUCUGUGAUAAUAUAUUUGAUUAUAGCCACAGACUAUGCAAAAUGAUUAUUUAUGUUCCUAAUUUAUCUUCAUCUUUCAUGGUGGUAGGGAAACAUCGCCGUUAGUUCACACGAGCUAGGACUUCACAAAAUUUGUCAAUAGCAUUGAUCAGGAUAUAAUUUUUCUUAUUCCUUUCUAUUUUUAGACAAGAAAGAACCAUAGAGAAUCUCAAUCCUUAUACUGUAGCAGUACCUGCAGUAGAGCAAGCCAUUGUCACAAAUUUAACAGAAGAUGGAAAAGAAUGGUUGCUUUUGUUGCAGGUUACUCCAAGAAGUGCAUUGUCAAACUAGAUGUUGUAUAUUAUCCAUCCAUCAUCUGGAUGCUUGUGUGUCCUGCG
RNAcentral lists this long non-coding RNA (1501 nucleotides) under Triticum aestivum (bread wheat). RNAcentral describes it as "long non-coding RNA (TAES_LNC013858)". Lineage: Eukaryota; Viridiplantae; Streptophyta; Magnoliopsida; Poales; Poaceae. The record is from RNAcentral.